GUCUCGGUAGUCUAAAGGCUUAGGACGCUCGCACGGAAUGCAAGAGAUCCGGGUUCGAUUCCCAGCCAAGGCA
Molecule: transfer RNA, 73 nt
Filed under: Trachymyrmex septentrionalis
Lineage: Eukaryota; Metazoa; Arthropoda; Insecta; Hymenoptera; Formicidae
Rfam family: tRNA
About the family: Transfer RNA (tRNA) molecules are approximately 80 nucleotides in length. Their secondary structure includes four short double-helical elements and three loops (D, anti-codon, and T loops).
Source: Rfam by way of RNAcentral